Molecule: unclassified non-coding RNA, 351 nt
Filed under: soil metagenome
Description: partial contains 5.8S ribosomal RNA, internal transcribed spacer 2, and large subunit ribosomal RNA
Rfam family: 5.8S ribosomal RNA (bases 1-119)
Source: RNAcentral
GAUGAAGACGUAGCGAAAUGCGAUAAGUAAUGUGAAUUGCAGAAUUCAGUGAAUCAUCGAAUCUUUGAACGCACAUUGCGCCCGCCAGUAUUCUGGCGGGCAUGCCUGUUCGAGCGUCAUUACAACCCUCAGGCCCCCGGGCCUGGCGUUGGGGAUCGGCGGAAGCCCCCUGUGGGCACACGCCGUCCCUCAAAUACAGUGGCGGUCCCGCCGCAGCUUCCAUUGCGUAGUAGCUAACACCUCGCAACUGGAGAGCGGCGCGGCCAUGCCGUAAAACACCCAACUUCUGAAUGUUGACCUCGAAUCAGGUAGGAAUACCCGCUGAACUUAAGCAUAUCAAUAAGCGGAGGA